RNAcentral lists this ribosomal RNA (879 nucleotides) under marine metagenome. RNAcentral describes it as "bacterial SSU rRNA". It matches the Rfam family "Bacterial small subunit ribosomal RNA", at positions 264 to 1161 of the family's 1533-position model. The record is from RNAcentral.
CCUACCAAGACUAUGAUCAAUAGCUGAUCUGAGAGGAUGAUCAGCCACAUUGGGACUGAGACACGGCCCAAACUCCUACGGGAGGCAGCAGUAGGGAAUAUUGCACAAUGGAGGAAACUCUGAUGCAGCGAUGCCGCGUGAGUGAAGAAGGCCUUUGGGUUGUAAAGCUCUUUCGUCGGGGAAGAAAAUGACUGUACCCGAAUAAGAAGGUCCGGCUAACUUCGUGCCAGCAGCCGCGGUAAUACGAAGGGACCUAGCGUAGUUCGGAAUUACUGGGCUUAAAGAGUUCGUAGGUGGUUAAAAUAGUUGGUGGUGAAAUCCCAGAGCUUAACUCUGGAACUGCCAUCAAAACUUUUUAGCUAGAGUAUGAUAGAGGAAAGCAGAAUUUCUAGUGUAGAGGUGAAAUUCGUAGAUAUUAGAAAGAAUACCAAUUGCGAAGGCAGCUUUCUGGAUCAUUACUGACACUGAGGAACGAAAGCAUGGGUAGCGAAGAGGAUUAGAUACCCUCGUAGUCCAUGCCGUAAACGAUGUGUGUUAGACGUUGGAAAUUUAUUUUCAGUGUCGCAGCGAAAGCAAUAAACACACCGCCUGGGGAGUACGACCGCAAGGUUAAAACUCAAAUGAAUUGACGGGGACCCGCACAAGUAGUGGAGCAUGUGGUUUAAUUCGAAGAUACGCGCAGAACCUUACCAACACUUGACAUGUUCGUCGCGACUUUAAGAGAUUAAAGUUUUCGGUUCGGCCGGACGAAACACAGGUGCUGCAUGGCUGUCGUCAGCUCGUGUCGUGAGAUGUUGGGUUAAGUCCCGCAACGAGCGCAACCCUCACUUUUAGUUGCCAUCAUUUAGUUGGGCACUCUGAAAGAACUGCCGGUGAUAA